AAGUCGUAACAAGGUCUCCGUUGGUGAACCAGCGGAGGGAUCAUUACUGAGUACUACACUCUCUACCCUUUGUGAACUAUUAUACCUGUUGCUUCGGCGGCGCCCGCAAGGGUGCCCGCCGGUCUCAUCAGAAUCUCUGUUUUCGAACCCGACGAUACUUCUGAGUGUUCUUAGCGAACUGUCAAAACUUUUAACAACGGAUCUCUUGGCUCCAGCAUCGAUGAAGAACGCAGCGAAACGCGAUAUGUAAUGUGAAUUGCAGAAUUCAGUGAAUCAUCGAAUCUUUGAACGCACAUGGCGCCUUCCAGUAUCCUGGGAGGCAUGCCUGUCCGAGCGUCGUUUCAACCCUCGAGCCCCUGUGGCCCGGCGUUGGGGAUCUGCCGACGGCAGGCCCCUAAAACCAGUGGCGGACCCGAAGGGCCCUCUCCUUUGCGCAGUAGCAUUCGCCUCGCAUCGGGAGUCCUCGGCGUCCUGUCUCUAAACCCCCCACAAGCCCGCUUCGGCGGCACCAAGGUUGACCUCGGAUCAGGUAGGAAUACCCGCUGAACUUAA
This 552-nucleotide ribosomal RNA is filed under the name uncultured fungus. RNAcentral describes it as "eukaryotic LSU rRNA". The stretch from base 186 to 339 matches the Rfam family "5.8S ribosomal RNA". Lineage: Eukaryota; Fungi. The record is from RNAcentral.